Long non-coding RNA from Drosophila mojavensis, 1119 nucleotides. RefSeq lists it as uncharacterized. NCBI's taxonomy places the organism in Eukaryota, Metazoa, Arthropoda, Insecta, Diptera, Drosophilidae. The record is from RefSeq and is a predicted model, not a curated record. The transcript is spliced from 4 exons.
CAGCUACAAAAAUACGGAAAGAACAGAUUUAUUCUAGUGCAGUGACAACACCUCUGCAAAGUGACCACAAUUGCCCAAAUCAAUUUAAGCAUUGCAUUUCCCAUUCCAUUCAGCAGCAGAAUGCAUUCAAUAUAAAUAUUUUAUGCAGCCGCCCGAAAGUAUGCUACACAAAUUGUGCAAAGCCGCAGCAAUUACGUAUACGUAAUUACGGGCUCGUUUCGCGUCUAUUUAAUGGAAUGGCUCGACUGAAAUUGUGCCAAACUAAUUACAGCAAAUCAAUAACGUGCGGCGUAAACACAACAUUUAAACAACAUAUAAACUUUAAUGGGGCGUGGCGAAUCAAUCAGUGCGACAUUACACCAGGGCCCGCCAUGGGAGCACAGUUCAUGAGCAGCCCAGCCCAGAGUCAAGUGACGUGCUCUGGUGUUGCCAUAAAUGCAGUCGCUGGCAAAUUGGGUGCACAAGAAAGAUAUAUAAAGAAAACAAAAUUGCGGCCAAACAGUCGCCAAGGUAGACUCGACCACAAAAAGGGCAAACGUUUUGUGGUGCAGGCGAACCCAGGAGCAGAGCGUCACAGGCUGCCACAGCCACUGCAAUGCGGUGCCAUUGCCCAAGUUGGAGACGGAGCAGGCCAGGCUCGGGCGCAACCUAAACUGUAAUUGGCCGUGCGAGUGAGCACCAGUGUUUCGUCCCCCACUCACUGCGCCGGCCGGCCCAUUCAGAGGGAACUGCAGCCCGAGUCGCAGCUCGAACGUCGAAGUAACUAGAGACAUGAAUAAAGCCAGCACGUAAAAAGUUUCACUUCUGUUUGGAGCAGACAAGAAAAUGAACAGAAAACAGUGCAGCUCUAAGAUUAGGAGAGUGACUGACUAGCAGAUACCCUGCCAAGACCAGUUACUAGUGCCUCCCGUUGGCUUGGCUUUAAUUGGCGCCGCGUUUUGCAUUUGUUUAAUAUUUAAAGCUCGACGUUUUUGCACAAUAUCUAUGACGGCAGCAACAACAAGAAGCCAAAAGCCAUUUUUUUCUCCCUUUAGCGCUUCUACUACAACAAAUAAUAAAAGGCAGCAAAAAAUAAAAGACAUUAUAAAUUACAAUAUUUCUUAUAUGUGUAUGGCUACA